CCAGGCUGCCCUGGCUAGUGGGGGCUCUGGUGGGAUGAUUCUUAAAAUAUGUAAGAGAGGAAAAUACAAAUAUGUGUAAUUCAUAGAAAGUCUUACCUUAUGCAAGGAUAAGAUAUACAAAUUUAGGAUAGUGAUUAUGCCAUGAUAUGUUUGAAGGACAACUCUCCUUAGCAUCUGUAGUGCAUGGUUCUGGUCAAGUGCUGCCUUGUUUGUUUAUUUUUUACUAUGUCCAUCUUCAGAAGAGUUGCUGACUUAACAACAUCUGGCAUGGUGGUUCACUUUGUUC
This 286-nucleotide long non-coding RNA is filed under the name Pan troglodytes (chimpanzee). RNAcentral's name for it is "long non-coding RNA NONPTRT016156". The record is from RNAcentral. Lineage: Eukaryota; Metazoa; Chordata; Mammalia; Primates; Hominidae.